UUCAAGGAUAAGAUUAAUUCAGGCUGCAUCC
This 31-nucleotide non-coding RNA is filed under the name Mus musculus (house mouse). Lineage: Eukaryota; Metazoa; Chordata; Mammalia; Rodentia; Muridae. The record is from RNAcentral.